RNAcentral lists this ribosomal RNA (478 nucleotides) under uncultured bacterium. Its description in RNAcentral is "partial 16S ribosomal RNA". It matches the Rfam family "Bacterial small subunit ribosomal RNA", at positions 28 to 523 of the family's 1533-position model. The record is from RNAcentral.
GACGAACGCUGGGGGCGUGCUUAACACAUGCAAGUCGAACGGUAAGGCCCUUCGGGGUACACGAGUGGCGAACGGGUGAGUAACACGUGGGUGAUCUGCCCUGCACUUCGGGAUAAGCCUGGGAAACUGGGUCUAAUACCGGAUAGGACCACUGCAUGCAUGGGGGGUGGUGGAAAGCUUUUGCGGUGUGGGAUGGGCCCGCGGCCUAUCAGCUUGUUGGUGGGAUGAUGGCCUACCAAGGCGACGACGGGUAGCCGGCCUGAGAGGGUGACCGGCCACACUGGGACUGAGAUACGGCCCAGACUCCUACGGGAGGCAGCAGUGGGGAGUAUUGCACAAUGGGCGCAAGCCUGAUGCAGCGACGCCGCGUGAGGGAUGACGGCCUUCGGGUUGUAAACCUCUUUAAGCACCGACGAAGCGCAAGUGACGGUAGGUGCAGAAGAAGGACCGGCCAACUACGUGCCAGCCGCCGCCGUAA